AAGACGGGGAGCUCAGCUUGGUGCUGUGACGACCUAGAGGGAUGGGAUGGGGGCGUGGGGGGAGGCUCGAGAGUGAGGGGUGUCUGUAUACACACAGCUUGUAUACUUGGUUGUAUAGCAGAGACGAACGCAGUGUUGUAAAGAAGUUACCAUCCGAUCUGAAACGGAGAGAGCUUAUUGUCUGUUAAGAUAAACUGGCUUCCCAUUAAGUGCCGAAAGUCAGGAUCAGUUUGCAGAUGUGCAGGCUACCAGGGGGCUUCUCCGAGAAAGCAGUUCUGCAGCCAGGGUGCUUUGGCCAUCGGCCACCAUCCCCUGUUGCCAGCGGACCGUGUGUGCUGUGCUGAGUCGCUUCAGUCGUGUCUGACUCUUCGCAAUGCUAUGGGCUGGAGCCUGCCCGUCUCCUCUGCUCGUGGGAUUCCCAGGCAAGAACACUGGAGAGGGUCCCCAUGCCCUCCUCCAGAGGAUCUUCCCGACCCAGAGAUCAAACUCGUGUUUCUGUCUCCUGCAGUAGCCAGCGGGCUCUUUACCACGAGCACUGCCUGGGAAACCCCCGUGGACCCAUACUGCAAGGUAGCCUCCCUCAGAUACCCUGAUCCUGUGCACAGUUGACUGUAGUAAGUACCACGGCCCACUCUGCUCGUGUGCUGUUCGCUACUGCCCCCUAAUGGACGCAUCAAUAUUAACAGGACAGUGAAAAAUCGCAGAAGAUGCUAAUUUGCUAAAACUCGCUUAGUUCCAGUAUUUCUUUGGAAGUGGGGUGAGGGUGGAAACAGCAAAUGAAAGAAAAAAUUUGAUCAGUUGUGCAACCCUGACAAAUACAAAUUUUUUUUCUGUGAUUUUUUUUUCUAGCCUACAUUUGUGGGUGAUUUUUUUUUUAACAGACAACUUAGUUUUCAUAAUGUAGUAUGAUGUAUAUUUAUUUCAUGUACUGUUACCCUGUAAGUAUUUUCUUGUGUUGCUGAAUCACCCCAUGAUUUUUUAAAUGAUGUACAGGUUUUGUAUAUAAUCUUUGGAAAACCAGACGUAGCCUCCUGUAUAUUGUGCUUCCGUGUGGAGGGUUGAGUCUCAGUUACUAAUUAGUUCCUGGUCCAUUGACGUCCUCCCUGGUCUAUAGUAAAAUGAGAAAAAUGGGGUUGCUGUAGGAAAUUUUUAAUGGAACUUAAUAUAUUCAGUUGAAAGCACCAUUUACUCUGGGGUUAUGUCCUCACCAAUUUUUUGAUCAUUCUUCACUUCUAUAAGAAAUAAAAUGAACAAUAUUUAGUAAUUUUUUAAUGUACCUCUUUGAAAAAUAAAAAUCGGUGGCUUUUGUCUGUCAUCAAAAUUCGAGGACUACUUUUUUUUCCCCCAGUUGGUAAAAUCUCAGCCUGUGAACCGUAAAGAUAAAAUUCUUAGAAUAUUCUUACAGUGUCAUACAAAGGGGGCAUCCUUGCUGAAACCUUCUAAUAAAGAGAAUCUCACUUAAUGACAGUAAUUAUGCAAAGCCUGUGCAAACAAUAGGAAGAGUUCUGUAAUUGCUUUCUCUUCCUUGUUAAUCAGUUUGGUAAAUAAGCUGGUAGGUUCCUUGCACAGGUUCAAAUCACUGGUGCAAAAGAAGAAAAAAAUCUGUGUGUAGAGGCCAUAUUGUAAGGUGGGGGAGGGGAGAUGAAAGAACUGUGAUACAUUUAAAAAGUGAUAGGUAAAAGUCUGUUGUACGGCCUGUAUGCGGUGGUGGGGGGUGCCGUUCUAUUAGCUUGCAUUUUGUUUUCCUUUCCUAUGUUCUAGGCACCAGCUGCAAUGUGACUACAUUCUCAUCUACAACCAGUAACAGUGCAUGGACCGCAGCCCCAGAAA
RNAcentral lists this long non-coding RNA (1830 nucleotides) under Capra hircus (goat). Its description in RNAcentral is "lncRNA (ENSCHIG00010022677.1)". Lineage: Eukaryota; Metazoa; Chordata; Mammalia; Artiodactyla; Bovidae. The record is from RNAcentral.